GAACCCAGCCGGGUUCUUUAGGCUUCUAAGUGGCAGGCUUUAUGGGUGGCUGGGACAGGAGUGGCACCUGGAACCCUAGACCAUGAAAGCAAAGAGGAGUCUCGUGCUUGCUCCGGCAAGACCCAGAGACCAGAAGCAACUGGCCUGAGAUCACCCAGCAGCUUUGUGGCAGAGCUGGGGCUCAGUGUCCCAACUCCCUAUGGGGCUUCUCUGUGCAUCAGAGGAGAGAAGAGCCUUUAAGAUGUCCCCGGGUGAAAGCCAUCACAAAGCCACCCUCCACAAUGGAAGGCCCUAAUAAAAUGAGCCAGGGUGACUGGUGCUGACUGGCUGACCCAGUCCCCACUUACAGCCCCUUCUCUCUCCCAGUGGCUGGUGCAGCGUGGCCAUGUGACCCAGUUCUGGCCCGGAAGUCACAGAAGUCAUCAGGUGGGGCUAAUGGGGACAGUACCCAGCUCAUGUCCCUUUGGCUUUUUUUGCCUGCUCCUUUUCCCCCUUCAUGUCGUGAACUUACUCUCUGUGUCUGAGGCGAGCAGCUGCCCCGUGACCUUGAGGACAAGAGCCACACGCUAAGGAUGACCGAGCAGAAAGAGAAGAAGAGCCUGGGUCUCAAGGUCCCCUUCACCCUCUGUUCCAGCCCUGGGCUGCCUGCCGCAUCCCUGUUUCAUCCCUGUCUGCUCAAGCUGUGAUUAGCAGGAUUUUCUGAUGCUCACAGCUUGAAUGCAGUCCUAACAGCUCCAUCACCCACAGUGACAAGAGCAGCUUUUGGUGAAAUUCAUUUGAUAUUCACGUGGCUCACUCCCUGCUUCAUUUAGGUCCUUGCUCCCUGUCGCCUCCUCAGGGAAGCCUUCCUUGACCACCCUAUCUACCAUAGCAGCUCCCAUCCCUCUCCAUUCCUUUCCCUUGCGUUAUUUUUUAUGGCCCUUAAAUCAACCACUACAUGACAUUCUAUUAUGAAAUUAUUUGUUUUUUGCUGCUUCCACUGGAAUUAGUUCCGUGCGAGCCAGGCUCUUCUGUCUUUGUCACGGCUGUAUCUCCAGCGUCUAGAGCUGUCACUGGCACAUAGCAGGUCCUCAGUCAGUCUUAUUGAAUGAAUGGACAUACUCUGAGCCAGCCAGACCCUGAGCUUUGCCUCUGACAUCUGCCGGCUGUUGAUGAUGGCAAGUCCACUUGGUCCCUGGAAUUAGAAUUUCCGCUUCUUCUCAGGCUCCACAUCUCAGUACCCAGUGUGAAUUUCCAUUGUCAACCCCGCUGCUCCCCUGCUGUGACACCACUGGACACCCCAGAAACCAACCAGCUUGCCCAUAGGCUCUGCCAUGGCCAGCCCUAUCUCACGGGACAUCCACCCCGCCCAUGCCCAGCGAUGGCUGGUCACCAUCUUGACCUCACCCUUCUUCAUCCUUCUUCUCAAUGUCGUUGUCCUUGUGGGACCCCAGGCAGCAAUGACGUUGUGUGAGAACUCCUUGCUCUCCCGUCUUUGACAAUACAUCAAAAGCCAUUACCUCCUGGUUCUGAUUUCCAAGAUGGAGCCUCCCUCGCAGAGAACAAAACGAAUGGGUUAGGUGUGCCAGACCCCAUUUCCCGGCUACCCGAACUAAUCAGCAGCAGAAAUUCAAAGAAACUGCUAGAGCAAAUUGAGAAGCCAGAUUAUUUGGGUCUCUUGAUUGAGAUUGGAGGAGUAAUUGUUGGAGGGUUCCAUUUAAUAAGCUUUGUUUACUAACCCCAGAUCCUGUUUUAAUAUUUCUGCCUCAGUUACUGGGGGUGUGGCCACAAUGAAGAGAUAAUUUUGACAUCCUUGCUAACAGGGGUCUCAGAGCUCCUCCACCUGAACCCUUUCAUUUUAUAGAUGGAGACCGUGAGGCCCGGAGAGGGAAGGGAGCUUCUCAGGGUCCCCAGAGAUUAGACUCCCAGCCUGGGUGCUUUGAUUUCUGAGAAAACCAGCCGGAGGCUCAAGGAGCCUCAAGGGACGUCCUCCUGACGUGGGUCAUCAGUGCUUCCUAAAGGAGUUUAAAGAACUGAAUCUCCUAACUUGUUAAGGAAAUAGUUGGACGAAUAUGAUGGGAGGGGGCAGCAUGUCAUUGUCUCCAAGUACCUGUGUCUUCCUAGGAAGGUAAAAAUGGCUGCCACGCAGGUACCCCCUUCCGCCAAGGACGUAUCUUUACCUUGUAGUUACUGAGGAUGACACGAGCCGGAGUAUCACAGAGAGUCACCACAUGUGAGGGACAAUCUGGAGCACCUUCCAUGAGGACAGGAGAGGGGACUGGAAUUGCCCAGUUCUCUAGCAGCCAGGGGUGGAGUCCCGGUCUCCUGAGUUCCCCGUUAGGAUCCUGUUCCCGACUCCACUCUGCCCAGUGCAGCUCCCGGCGCCAGGAUGUCGAUCUGGCAGGCAGUGAGGGCAGACUCAGAUGGGCACCCCUGCAGAUGCCCCCCAGUUCCCCACGGGAGCCAGGGAACAGGGUGUAGAACAGACUGUGAGUUGGGGAACCAGAAAAAGAAAGAAGAAUCAUGGCCGGGCGAGGUCAGGGAGGUUUCCUUACGGAGGAAGGGAGGCUCUGCCCGUGAAGAAGGAGCAGAAUUUUGGGCAGCGUGGUAUUGGUUAUCAGUGGAAACCAGUGGGUGCAUGAGAGGCGCUCAGAGGAAAUUGAUUCAUCCUGCAGUUUUUUUUUUUUGGAACCUUUAUUAUGCACCAGGUCUUUACAUAUGCCAUUUCUUCUAAUCCUUACAUUGACCUUAUGAAGGAGGCAGUAAUUUUACUGCCAUUUGGCAGAUAGGGAAAGAGGUGCAGGGAAGUUAAUUGCCCAGGUUUACACAGCGGGUGGUAGACAGAGUUUGAACCCAGGAGUGGAUGUCUCCUUCCACUGUAGGAUAUGCAAAUUACUUAUCACUGGAGUCUUAAAAAUGGAUUGUCAUGGAUAGGUUUGUGGGUGGGCUCAGAGGAAAGGGGUUCAGGGUGCCAAAGAUGCCUUGGGCCGCCAUCACUGUUGGGUCCUUGCUCCCGCUUUCCUAUGAAAGCCCUUCCAACAUGCAAAGAAAGCUUCCUGCCCCCUCCGAUCAUUCAUGCAUUCGUUCUUUCGACAGUCAUAACCAGCACCUUCUUUUCUGUUAGGCCCUUUAGUAGAUAUUGGGAAUGUAAAGGUAAAAAAGGAUGUGGUCCUUUCCCCCAGAGUUGUCCACCAGGGACCAGAUUCGUCCCUGUUCCCUUUUAUAGCUCAAGCGUUACUCAUAGCAAAUGACUGUAGCGUCCUGAUCACCUUGGUCACUCAUCACAGAGUCCUCAGUGGGUCCAGCGCCACCACCAUCUUUACCACACUGAUACCACCUAAACUGACACCAAUUCUUUUAGCAGCUAUACACCAUCUUUAGUAAGGAAUUGGUUUAGAUAUUAUUCAAACUGCAGAGAUUUUAAACAAGAGCCCACUGCCAAGCCAAGCAUUUUCCAUUCUAUGCUGAGCCAGUUGACUGACCUUCAAUGGGAAACUUUACAUUUUUGUCUGUUAAAUUUCACCAUAAUGCAUUCAGCGUAUUUUUCCUAGCCUAUUAAAGAUUUUUCCCACUUAUGAAAUAUUUUGUAACUCAAGUGCUACUGCAAUGCCUGGAAAUGUGGAAAGUCUGCUUUUAAGAGUCUUCAUUCAAGGCAGUAAAAUGCAGAUUAGAGCAGAGACAAGGGUGGGCCCUACCACAUUUCACCAGAGACCAACUUCCAGCCAUUUGCUCCAUGUUCUUUGUAUGGGGUUGAUUAACCAGCUGUGAAUCUGCAUAUCUAAGCUCUCAUCUUGUCUCAUCUCUGCAUUUUGUUCAAAAGCUAGCAAGGAAGACUUAAGAAAAUGUUUGGCAGAAAUCAAAAUGCACGUGAAGCAUCUCAUCAGGAGGGGAGAUCAGAUGGAAAAGGCUUUAUUUAUAGUGUGCUUUGACAGACGGACCUUACCAACAAUCUGUAGGAUCUUUGUAGACGUGUAAAUCCAGUGAGAGACAGAACAGACACACAGAGACACAGAGGACGUGGCCAGGAGAAGACAGAGGCAGAGAUCGGAGUGAUGCGGCCACAAGCUGAGGAAUGCCUGGGGCCACCAGGGCUGGAAGAGACAAGGAAGGAACCUCCCCUGGAGCCUGCAGAGGGAGCCUGGCCCUGCUGACACCGUGGUUUCAGACUUCUGGACAACACAACUGUGAGAAAAUAGAGAUCUGUUG
Molecule: non-coding RNA, 4185 nt
Organism: Vicugna pacos (alpaca)
Lineage: Eukaryota; Metazoa; Chordata; Mammalia; Artiodactyla; Camelidae
Source: RefSeq, a predicted model, not a curated record